Molecule: ribosomal RNA, 126 nt
Filed under: Candidatus Parasutterella gallistercoris
Lineage: Bacteria; Pseudomonadati; Pseudomonadota; Betaproteobacteria; Burkholderiales; Sutterellaceae
Description: partial 16S ribosomal RNA
Rfam family: Bacterial small subunit ribosomal RNA
Source: RNAcentral
AAACAAUAGAGUUUGAUCCUGGCUCAGAUUGAACGCUGGCGGAACGCUUUACACAUGCAAGUCGAACGGUAACGUGGGGAGGAGCUUGCUCCACCCCGACGACGAGUGGCGAACGGGUGAGUAAUA